AGAGUUUGAUCCUGGUUCAGGAUGAACGCUAGCGGCAGGCUUAACACAUGCAAGUCGAGGGGUAGCAGGUUUAAAUUUCGGUUUAAAUGCUGACGACCGGCGCACGGGUGCGUAACGCGUAUACAAUCUACCUUAUACUGGAGGAUAGCCCUAAGAAAUUGGGAUUAAUACUCCAUAAUAUUAUUGGUCCGCAUGGAUUGAUUAUUAAAGCUACGGCGGUAUAAGAUGAGAAUGCGUCUGAUUAGCUAGUUGGUGAGGUAACGGCUCACCAAGGCUACGAUCAGUAGGGGGCCUGAGAGGGUUAUCCCCCACACUGGUACUGAGACACGGACCAGACUCCUACGGGAGGCAGCAGUGAGGAAUAUUGGUCAAUGGGCGCAAGCCUGAACCAGCCAUGCCGCGUGAAGGAAGGAUGUCCUAUGGAUUGUAAACUUCUUUUAUUUGGGAAGAAACCCCUCUACGUGUAGAGGUCUGACAGUACCAAAUGAAUAAGGACCGGCUAACUCCGUGCCAGCAGCCGCGGUAAUACGGAGGGUCCAAGCGUUAUCCGGAAUCAUUGGGUUUAAAGGGUUCGCAGGCGGUUUAUUAAGUCAGUGGUGAAAUCUCGAGGCUCAACCUCGAAAACUGCCAUUGAUACUGAUAGACUUGAAUAUAGUUGGAGU
Molecule: ribosomal RNA, 662 nt
Filed under: uncultured bacterium
Lineage: Bacteria
Description: bacterial SSU rRNA
Rfam family: Bacterial small subunit ribosomal RNA
Source: RNAcentral